This 492-nucleotide ribosomal RNA is filed under the name uncultured bacterium. Its description in RNAcentral is "partial 16S ribosomal RNA". It matches the Rfam family "Bacterial small subunit ribosomal RNA", at positions 29 to 507 of the family's 1533-position model. The record is from RNAcentral.
AGUGAACGCUGGCGGUAGGCCUAACACAUGCAAGUCGAACGGCAGCACAGUAAGAGCUUGCUCUUACGGGUGGCGAGUGGCGGACGGGUGAGGAAUACAUCGGAAUCUACUUUUUCGUGGGGGAUAACGUAGGGAAACUUCCGCUAAUACCGCAUACGACCUACGGGUGAAAGCAGGGGUUCUUCGGACCUUGCGCGAUUGAAUGAGCCGAUGUCGGAUUAGCUAGUUGGCGGGGUAAAGGCCCACCAAGGCGACGAUCCGUAGCUGGUCUGAGAGGAUGAUCAGCCACACUGGAACUGAGACACGGUCCAGACUCCUACGGGAGGCAGCAGUGGGGAAUAUUGGACAAUGGGCGCAAGCCUGAUCCAGCCAUACCGCGUGGGUGAAGAAGGCCUUCGGGUUGUAAAGCCCUUUUGUUGGGAAAGAAAAGCAGCAGGUUAAUACCCCGCUGUUCUGACGGUACCCAAAGAAUAAGCACCGGCUAACUUCGUG